GACGAACGCUGGCGGCGUGCCUAAUACAUGCAAGUUGAGCGCUGAAGGUUGGUACUUGUACCAACUGGAUGAGCAGCGAACGGGUGAGUAACGCGUGGGGAAUCUGCCUUUGAGCGGGGGACAACAUUUGGAAACGAAUGCUAAUACCGCAUAAAAACUUUAAACACAAGUUUUAAGUUUGAAAGAUGCAAUUGCAUCACUCAAAGAUGAUCCCGCGUUGUAUUAGCUAGUUGGUGAGGUAAAGGCUCACCAAGGCGAUGAUACAUAGCCGACCUGAGAGGGUGAUCGGCCACAUUGGGACUGAGACACGGCCCAAACUCCUACGGGAGGCAGCAGUAGGGAAUCUUCGGCAAUGGACGAAAGUCUGACCGAGCAACGCCGCGCGAGUGAAGAAGGUUUUCGGAUCGUAAAACUCUGUUGGUAGAGAAGAACGUUGGUGAGAGUGGAAAGCUCAUCAAGUGACGGUAACUACCCAGAAAGGGACGGCUAACUACGU
Molecule: ribosomal RNA, 496 nt
Filed under: uncultured bacterium
Lineage: Bacteria
Description: partial 16S ribosomal RNA
Rfam family: Bacterial small subunit ribosomal RNA
Source: RNAcentral